GGAAAUUUUCGGUAGUAGAUGAGAUACCUAAAAUACUUCCCAAAUUUAGCUCUGAUACCAAAAUCUGAUGACUUACACCAAGCCAAAAAAAUUGUCGAGAGGAAAGGGUUACAUGUGAUUAGCCCUACAGAAUUUGAACGGACAAUCGUAAAUGACUCAAUCGUAUUUGCUGUGAUUGUUAUGGAAGUCCCGUUCGAUUCCCCAAUAGCGACCCCUACUGAAGCGCAAUCACUCCUUCAGGAAUUUAAGGAUGUAUUUCCUGACGACCUCCUUGAUCUAUUACCUCCCUUACGGGAUAUUCAACAUGCUAUAGAUCUGGUUCCAGGUUCGUCUCUCCCAAACUUGCCUCACUAUAGAAUGAAUCCUGCUGAACAUGCCGAGCUCCAAAGACAAGUGGGUGAACUCCUUCACAAAGGCUUCAUCCGUGAAAGUUUAAGCCCUUGUACAGUGCCCGCCCUUCUAACACCUAAGAAGGAUGAUUCUUGGAGGAUGUGCGUUGAUAGUCGCGCUAUCAAUAAAAUCACUGUCAAGUAUCGUUUACCCAUCCCUCGACUUGAUGAUAUGCUAGAUAUGAUGGCCGGUGCCACGAUCUUUUCCAAAAUCGAUUUGAAGAGUGAGUAUCAUCGGAUUCGAAUCCGCCCAGGAGACGAGUGGAAAACUGCAUUUAAAAUGAAAGAUGGCCUAUACGAGUGGUUGGUAAUGCCUUUUGGCCUAACCAAUGUUCCAAGUACUUUUAUGAGGGUGAUGACACAGGCCCUUCGGCCUUUCAUGGGCAAAUUCAUUGUCGUAUACUUUGAUGACAUCCUCGUGUACAGCAAAACAAGGGAACAACAUCGAGAUCAUCUCACGCAAGUUUGCUCUACAUUGCGUGCAACAAGCUUGUAUGCCAAUGUGAAGAAAUGUUCUUUCUUCACGGAUACAAUUGUGUUUCUCGGAUUUGUUGUUUCCACUACGGGAGUAUCUGCUGAUCCUGCAAAGAUUCGGGCAAUUAUUGAGUGGCCAGAUCCCAAGAAUAGACAUGAUGUAAGGAGUUUUCAUGGUUUAGCUACCUUUUAUCGUCGUUUCAUUAAGGGAUUUAGUAUGAUCAUGGCUCCUAUCACAGAGUGUAUGAAGAGAGGAGAAUUUCAUUGGACGCAGGAAGCGGCUAAGGCCUUUCAGUUAAUCAAAAGGCGAAUGAUAGAGGCUCCUGUCAUGCGACUUCCAGAUUUUUCCAAAGUUUUUGAGGUCGAAUGUGAUGCGUCAGGGGUAGGAAUAUGUGGAGUCUUGAGUUAAGAACGCCAUCCUAUUGCUUAUUUUAGUGAGAAAUUAAAUGAUGCCAAGCAACGGUACUCAACUUAUGAUAAGGAGUUGUACGCAGUUGUACAAGCCUUGCGUUAUUGGCGUCAUUACUUAUUACUCCAUGAAUUUGUCCUCUUUUCUGACCACGAGGCCCUUUGUUUCCUUAAUUCCCAGAGACGAUUGAAUUCUCGGCAUGGCCGCUGGAUCGAAUAUUUGCAAGCCUAUUCUUUUGUCUUAAAGCAUAAGAAGGGUGUUGAAAAUCGAGCUCUGACGCUUUAAGUCGUCGCAUCUCCUUGUUGUCCGUCAUGAGUGUUAAGGUUCUAGGGUUUGAAAGACUUAAGGAAGAGUACGAGUUCUGUCCCGAUUUCAGGGACAUUUUUCUUGCUUUGCAAAAUAGGGAGUUGGACACCACUGAUGGUUUCCGUUUUGAGGAGGGUUAUCUUUUUAGAUCCAAUAAGUUGUGCAUCUCAAGGACUUUAGUGCGAGACUUUAUAGUGUGGGAAAGUCAUGCUGGUGGGUUGGCUAGACAUUUUGGGCGUGAUAAGACCAUAGAGAAAAUUGAACGUCAAUUCUAUUGGCCCAGUUUAAAGACCGACGUAGCCAAGAUUGUCGGCACAUGUAACACCUGUCAACGAUCUAAGCACAAAAGAUAGAACACAGGCCUCUACACUCCUCUCCCCGUCCCUAGUUGUCCUUGGCAAGACGUUAGUAUGGAUUUCGUGCUAGGGUUGCCACGUACUCCAAAGAAACACGACUCCAUUUUUGUUGUCGUAGAUCGCUUCUCGAAAAUGGCACACUUUAUUUCCUGUGGCAAGACUUCCGAUGCAUCUAAGGUUGCUAAGUUUUACUUCCAUGAGAUCGUCAAACUGUAAGGCCUCCUUAAGACCAUUGUCUCGAAUAGGGAUGUUCGUUUCACUAGCCAUUUUUGGCGAAUCCUAUGGAGUAUGGUUGGCACUAAACUGAAAUUCUCUACUGUAUAUCACCCACAAACGGACAGUCAAGCUGAGGUUGUUAACCGCAGUCUUGGUAAUCUAUUAAGAUGUCUAGUCCUGAAAAAUCUUAGGAAUUGGGACUUAAUUCUUCCUACUGCCCAACUUGCAUAUAACAGUUCAGUGAAUCGGUCUAUAGGUAUGAGUCCCUUUGAGGUUGUUCAUGGUUUUAAGUCUAGGAAGCUGUUAGACCUUAUUCCUAUGUCUCCACAUGCUAGUGUGUCUCUGUCAACUGAGUCUUUUGCACAACAUCUGCGUGACUUGCAUAUUGAGAUCAAUAAACAGUUAGAAACGAGUAAUGCAUUAUAUAAACUUCGAGCUGAUUUGCACAAACGCCAUGUUGAAUUUAAUGUUGGGGAUUAUAUUAUGAUUCGAAUUAGACCGGAAUGGCGUCCAUCUGGGCCUGCUUCCAAAUUGCAAGCUCGUAGUACUGGUCCUUUUAAAAUUUUAAAGCGUGUUGGUUCAAAUGCUUAUGUUAUUCACUUACCAUCACAUUUUGGCUACCACCCUACCUUUAAUGUUGAAGACUUAGUUGCUUACAAAGGCCAAUUUUACCCCGCUGAUGAUCCUUUCACACCUCCAUCUCUGGACCCUCAUCCUGAACAUGUUAUCCCUGCCCCAAUUCCACUUGCUGCAGUAUAUAAAGAUAAAAUUGAUGCUAUUCUAGAUGCACAGACUAUAUUAACCAAGGAUGAAGACAUUCAGCGCUUCCUUGUUCGUUGGGAGGGUCGUCCUGUUUCAGAUUGUACUUGAAUCCCCAAAGAGACACUUCAACAGCUUGAUCCUGAUUUGUUGGAGCAUUAUAGGAGUCAACAAGAUCUUCCUCUACCUGGACCACCACCCUUGCGUGUCUAUAGACGUUGAAAGAAGUUUGCUCAACCGUUCAGUUUGUGGCUAGGAGAUUGACAGCAGCCUUUUGUGAUCUACCUCCUUGAUGGGGUCAAGUUUUUUCUCCCACCCCAGGAGAGUUGAUGCGGACAUCAUCCCCAUUUUAGCUUUUAGUUAUUUAUUUUGGGUUUAUGUCUUUUAGUUAUUUAUUUUGGGCUUAUGUCACAUUGAGCUUGUAUAUGGGUUUGGCCCAAAUCCAAGUUAUUAUUUUGUUAUUCAUGUUAUUGUAAUUGGGAUUAAAAGUCAGUUGAUGAAUGAAUUGAAUUAAGAUUGGCA
This 3431-nucleotide long non-coding RNA is filed under the name Olea europaea subsp. europaea. Lineage: Eukaryota; Viridiplantae; Streptophyta; Magnoliopsida; Lamiales; Oleaceae. The record is from RNAcentral.